This 247-nucleotide ribosomal RNA is filed under the name Escherichia coli. Its description in RNAcentral is "partial 23S ribosomal RNA". It matches the Rfam family "Bacterial large subunit ribosomal RNA", at positions 2684 to 2925 of the family's 2925-position model. Lineage: Bacteria; Pseudomonadati; Pseudomonadota; Gammaproteobacteria; Enterobacterales; Enterobacteriaceae. The record is from RNAcentral.
CGAGAGGACCGGAGUGGACGCAUCACUGGUGUUCGGGUUGUCAUGCCAAUGGCACUGCCCGGUAGCUAAAUGCGGAAGAGAUAAGUGCUGAAAGCAUCUAAGCACGAAACUUGCCCCGAGAUGAGUUCUCCCUGACCUUUUAAGGGUCCUGAAGGAACGUUGAAGACGACGACGUUGAUAGGCCGGGUGUGUAAGCGCAGCGAUGCGUUGAGCUAACCGGUACUAAUGAACCGUGAGGCUUAACCUU